Molecule: ribosomal RNA, 497 nt
Filed under: uncultured bacterium
Lineage: Bacteria
Description: partial 16S ribosomal RNA
Rfam family: Bacterial small subunit ribosomal RNA
Source: RNAcentral
GACGAACGCUGGCGGCGUGCCUAAUACAUGCAAGUUGAGCGCUGAAGGUUGGUACUUGUACCAACUGGAUGAGCAGCGAACGGGUGAGUAACGCGUGGGGAAUCUGCCUUUGAGCGGGGGACAACAUUUGGAAACGAAUGCUAAUACCGCAUAAAAACUUUAAACACAAGUUUUAAGUUUGAAAGAUGCAAUUGCAUCACUCAAAGAUGAUCCCGCGUUGUAUUAGCUAGUUGGUGAGGUAAAGGCCCACCAAGGCGAUGAUACAUAGCCGACCUGAGAGGGUGAUCGGCUACAUUGGGACUGAGACACGGCCCAAACUCCUACGGGAGGCAGCAGUAGGGAAUCUUCGGCAAUGGACGAAAGUCUGACCGAGCAACGCCGCGGGAGUGAAGAAGGUUGUCGGAUCGUAAAACUCUGUUGGUAGAGAAGAACGUUGGUGAGAGUGGAAAGCUCAUCAAGUGACGGUAACUACCCAGAAAGGGACGGCUAACUACGUG